AAAUUCCUACGGGGGGCAGCAGUGGGGAAUAUUGCACAACGGGGGAAACCCUGAUGCAGCGACGCCGCGUGAGUGAAGAAGUAUUUCGGUAUGUAAAGCUCUCUCAGCAGGGACGAAAAUGACGGUACCUGAGUAAGAAGCCCCGGCUAACUACGUGCCAGCAGCCGCGGUAAUACGUAGGGGGCAAGCGUUAUCCGGAUUUACUGGGUGUAAAGGGAGCGUAGACGGUCAUGCAAGUCUGGAGUGAAAGGCGGGGGCUCAACCCCCGGACUGCUCUGGAAACUGUAGAACUAGAGUGCAGGAGG
This 305-nucleotide ribosomal RNA is filed under the name uncultured bacterium. Its description in RNAcentral is "bacterial SSU rRNA". It matches the Rfam family "Bacterial small subunit ribosomal RNA", at positions 333 to 655 of the family's 1533-position model. The record is from RNAcentral.